GGUUUGGAAGAUGGAAUUGUGUUGGGGGACAGUGCCUACCCAAGCAGGAAGUUUCUCAUGACGCUUUACCUGCAUCCUGAUGUACAACGACGCCCAUGCGAAGACGAGAAAUGUGAUUGAAAGAGCGUUCGGUGUACUGAAGCGGAGGUUUCAUGUUCUUCAUGGAGAGGUUAGAAUGAAGCCAGCCAAAGUAUCAAAAAUAAUUGUAGCAUGUGUAGUGUUGCACAAUCUGGAAAAGGCAUGGGGUGAGAGGGAGGCAUUCCCAGAGGAGGAAGACCCUCAACCUCCACCAAUUGUACAGCUUGAUGGUAACCAUGACAGGCAGGCUAUCAGGGAUUGAG
Dreissena polymorpha is the source of this 341-nucleotide long non-coding RNA. RefSeq lists it as uncharacterized. The record is from RefSeq and is a predicted model, not a curated record. The transcript has 3 exons. NCBI's taxonomy places the organism in Eukaryota, Metazoa, Mollusca, Bivalvia, Myida, Dreissenidae.